CCUACGGGAGGCAGCAGUGGGGAAUCUUGGACAAUGGGGGCAACCCUGAUCCAGCCAUGCCGCGUGAGUGAUGAAGGCCCUAGGGUCGUAAAGCUCUUUCGCCUGUGAUGAUAAUGACAGUAGCAGGUAAAGAAACCCCGGCUAACUCCGUGCCAGCAGCCGCGGUAAUACGGAGGGGGUUAGCGUUGUUCGGAAUUACUGGGCGUAAAGCGCGCGUAGGCGGACUAUUAAGUCAGGGGUGAAAUCCCGGGGCUCAACCCCGGAACUGCCCUUGAUACUGGUAGUCUUGAGUUCGAGAGAGGUGAGUGGAAUUCCGAGUGUAGAGGUGAAAUUCGUAGAUAUUCGGAGGAACACCAGUGGCGAAGGCGGCUCACUGGCUCGAUACUGACGCUGAGGUGCGAAAGUGUGGGGAGCAAACAGGAUUAGAUACCCUGGUAGUCCACACCGUAAACGAUGAAUGCCAGUCGUCGGGUAGCAUGCUAUUCGGUGACGCACCUAACGGAUUAAGCAUUCCGCCUGGGGAGUACGGCUGACAGAUUAAAACUCAAAGGAAUUGACGG
This 560-nucleotide ribosomal RNA is filed under the name uncultured bacterium. Its description in RNAcentral is "bacterial SSU rRNA". It matches the Rfam family "Bacterial small subunit ribosomal RNA", at positions 338 to 916 of the family's 1533-position model. The record is from RNAcentral.